AUCUAAGAGAGUAAAGAGGUUUAACGAGGGUAGUGUCUUUAACAGAGUCAAUGGUGAAAAAUCGAGCUCUGCAAGGGUUUUAUCUCUGGUUUUUCUGGGGAGCCUUCGUGAUUAAAUGGGGAAAUCCGUAGCCUGGAGUCCAUCAAUUUCAACGCCGAGAAUCGAGUUUUUCAUCUGCAAGUAAUGCAUUUCAUGAUCCUAUUGAGUUUGGUGGAGACUGGAGAAGAAGAAGGUUAUUCCGCUUCGACUUCAGGAAAAUUUGGGGCUUUUGUAACUUUCAACACUAGGGAUGCAAAGAACGAUUACACACUGUGUUCUGAGAUUUGGCCGGUAAACUCUUUUCUCCUUCUAGGGCAUCGUAUUCCCAGGUGGCUCGAAAUUGUAAUAUCCAAGUAUUGCUUCUGCGACCUAGCUAUGUUGGAUGAUUUGUGUUGCUGGGAUGAAGUUUCGAUGCGAUUGUCUUGCUUUUUGCGGACAAAACGGGUCUCAAAAGUCUUGUUUGAGGUUAUCAAAAUUAAUCUCGAUCUCCCUGGGUUCCCAAUUUCUUUUGGAAAUAAGAUAAAUUGGGUCUAUCUAAGAAUUGGGUUUUGGUUAGAAUCUUAUCAUCAAUCAGGUACGCUCCUUGAAUUUUCAUAUUCAAUUUGGUUACAAUUGAUGAUUGCAAUUCGACUUCAGUUAGUGGUUAGUUGGUUGAUUUUCUUGUUCACUAUCUUUCGUCUCUACUUGGCUUAUUCAAUUGAUGUUGACUUAUCUUUGUCUAACUUCUUGGGUGAGCUUAUCUCUGUUUGUGAAAUAUGUACCAUUCAUAAGCUUUCUUUACUGGAUAAGAAUAUGGUUUCUUUUUUAUUUAUGGAUGACCAGCAUCCUUUUAUUCCAAUCUUUAGUAUUGCUCUGAACCUGAUGAAAGAAAGUAUUGAAAUUCUCCUUAACUACCCGUUUGAGUCUAAAAAUAGUGUCGUUGUGGUGCUGCUCUAGAUCACUGUCAGGAAGCUUAUCAAUUUUGGAUGCCUCUGGUGCCCCAAAUUUGGUUGAUAUUUUUGCUUUGCUUAAGGAAAACUAUAGAUGUGUUGUUUUUUAUCUAGAUGAAGAUUUAGUGGGCAUUUCUGAAUACUCUAAGAAGAGGACUAUUUUUGGUGCUCCUAGCCCCGCAAAGAAAACAAGGCAUAUGAUAGAACUGAUGACUACCAGUGAGGACCAAGAACGGGGAUCAGUUUCAAACACAUCUAGGGAUUGAAGAGUUGAUUUUAUCUUCCAAAAAGCAAAAAGGUAAGAUCUUUGAAGCUUUUUCUUUUGUGUUUUGAUGAAAUUUUGGUUUUUUACUUCUCCAUUUGCGUUUUUUUUUCAUCUUUGUUUCAUUCAUUCUCUGUUGAAAAUUUGCUAUAUGCCCGUGAGGCUUUCUAUAUGAUAUUCUUUAGGGAUUCAAAUAAUUCAAUUGUUGAAUUUGUUGGAUGUUGGUUGGGUUUGAAGUUGUUAUCACUGACGCUCUGUUUUGGGGCCUCGAAUUUUUUUUCGUCUUGAGCCUCCAAACUCACAGGGCCGGCCCUGAUUGUAUAGUUCUAUACUUUUAACCUCUUCCAUCACAAUUGUGUUUAGCAAAUUCCCGGUGAAAUGAUUGAUGGCAAUUACGUACUUUAAGAUAAGAAAUUCUUUCCCUUUUGGUUUCCUUUUGCGUCAUCAAUUUUGGUUGUGUGAUCUCUCUACGGUACUGCAACUGUUUGUUAUGUUGGGAUGAUUAAUCAUCCUUGAACUGAUCUUGCACAAUUUUUUUUUUUUUUUUGUCUUGAUAGGUGGAAUUCACAAGGGUUCUGGGAGAGGAAGAUUGUUCAUAUAAGGAAACUCCAAUAUAAUUAGUGUUCUUCAAAUGAUGGUUUCAGACUUUCAUUAUGGCGAAAUUUCAGUUCGUGAGCCUUAAUUAAGUGUAGUGGGAAGGGGUUAGAGGUAUUAUGUUUCUGCCUUAAUUAUGUUAUAUUGCCUUCUGAGGUUUGGAGUUGCUGCCUUGGUAGCCCCUUCAUUGGUAUAAGGAUAAACUGCAUAUAUGAUAAUCAUGGCCUGCCUGGACUUUUUUUCUAUGGACAAAUAAUCCUUCGACUUAACCAGAAAAUAGAAAAAAAAAAAAAAAAAGCAAAAGAAGAGGGGGAGGAGAAAACCAAAGAGAUUAGAAGAGAAAACAAAUGAUGCCGAGAAGAAACGGUUGAAGAAGCAUGAAAAAGAAGGAAAAAAACCGAAGAGAAUGUAAAGAGGCCAAGUUAUCAAAUCUUGAUUAAUUGUAAGGUUGGUAGAAUAUUUGUCAAUCUUAGGUACUUGGCUUUUAUUAGAAAUGAAGAUGUGAUGCACAUGCAAACCAUACCACGGUCAAAAUCAUAAUUCGCACGCGUGA
This is a long non-coding RNA of Rosa rugosa (rugosa rose), 2377 nucleotides long. RefSeq lists it as uncharacterized. The record is from RefSeq and is a predicted model, not a curated record. The transcript has 3 exons. NCBI's taxonomy places the organism in Eukaryota, Viridiplantae, Streptophyta, Magnoliopsida, Rosales, Rosaceae.